Long non-coding RNA from Alligator mississippiensis (American alligator), 1819 nucleotides. RefSeq lists it as uncharacterized. Lineage: Eukaryota; Metazoa; Chordata; Crocodylia; Alligatoridae. The record is from RefSeq and is a predicted model, not a curated record. The transcript is spliced from 5 exons.
GGGGCAGGCAGGUGAGGCUAGGUCUGAGCAAGGGCAUCUCCUGGCUGGAGGAGGGCUGCCUGUAGACAUGGUAUAAGCCCAGACCCUGAGAGCAGGGCUGGCAGUAACAUUUUGGCAGCUGGUGAAGGAACAUCCCCCAGCAGGAAGGCUGCUGCUCCUGAAUGCCAGCAAGGAGAAAGGCUCUCUGCAAGCUCAGAUACAAGUUCCCACUGCAGUUACAUGAUACCAGCCCAAUGGAGUCGCAAUCAGCUGUGUACUGAUGAAGACUGUUGCAUUAAAAAUGAUUGUACAGUUGUUGCGUAUAAAAUAUAUGAUAGGUUGAAACCCAGUUUUAUCCAUAUUUCCCAUGUUUGAAUGUUCAUUACUUUGUUCAUAAUUGCUAAGAAAGAGCUAAUUAAAGGGAAAAUGGCUUUCAUUAUUUCUAUCAUAAUAAUUUGUAUCAGUUAAGGAGGCAACACAAACAAGAGAAUAAAUGUGUUUGUAAAUGAACCAUAAGGGGACAAGUCACUAGCUAAAGGUCUGAGGUAAAAGAGGGAUUCAGAUCCUGAUCCCUUUCCUACAGCUUGGACUGGGUCCUGGGCUCGUUACAGAACCUGGCUGCACAGGGAUACAGAAUUCUACCUGCUUUUAUUCCAUGUUAGGGCCAGGGCCCCAGCCUUUUUUCUCUUUGUACUUUGUUUUCCAUCCUCGACUGGAAGUGCCCCUACUUCUUUUAUGAUAUAUUGUCCCUGGGAAUCCAUAGCGAACAAGUGGAUCUGCACAGAUGUCCCUUCUCUCUGCCUUGCUGCCCAGCCACAUUUGCAUUUUGCUGACCCAGCAGAACCUGAGCUUCCAAUGCUGGAACACUCUCCAAGGGGAAGGGUUGAGAGGAACCUAGAGCAUGAAGUGGAAAGUAGACAGAGUUUACAUAACUUUAAGAUCAAUAUCAUUGUUUCAAGAAAUAGUUUGGACAGCGCAGAGGCAUUAUAACUAAUGGACACUUUCAUUCAAAUUUAUAUAUGAGGGCAUCAUGGACCACCGGGACCGCUUCACCCACAUCUUCACCAGCUGGGCGGGCAGCUUCCAUGAUGCCCACACCUUCUGCAACUCCCUGCUCCCACACUGAUGCAGAGUGGGUGUGACCCUGCCCCCAUCAUUGGGGAUCCAUCUUAUCCUCUCUUGCCCUGGAUGAUGAAGCUUUAUGGGGGCAGCUGGACCAUCAGAAGGAGCAUAUCAACUACUGCCUGAGCAGGUGCACUGUUAUGGUGGAGUGUACCUUUGGCAGCCUCAAAGCUCAUUGGUGGGCUCUCAGUGUGUGCCUCAAGGUGAAUGAGGAGACCCUGCUGUGACUCGUUGUUACAUGUUUUUCCCAUAACAUCUGUGACACUAAGAGGAAGAUGAUUCAUGAAGCCUGGGUUGAGGAGGCAUGGUGCCUGGACCAGGCAUGGCAGGUCAGGUAACUUUGGUGCAGGGAUGGGAGAGAGGGUAAACCCCACACUGAGGUUGGGGGCACUGGCUCCACACAGUGGCAGGGAGUCUAGAUCUAUGAAAUGCUGGCCAACAACCUCUUCACACUUGGGGACCAGGAGCCCUCCAUAGAUGAGUAGAGCUGGAGGGUUUCAAGUGUCCAUGCCCUGGUUCUGGGCUAUGGAUCUUCUGGCCCAGUCUUCUUUGGUGCUGCAUCCUUGGCUACACUGCCUACAACCAAGGCUGCUUCUAUUCCCCUGCUCCCCCAUUCCACCAGGGGCACACACUGGAAUGCAGGGGGAUGUGGCAUGAGGAAGAGAUAUUCCUCAGUUUGAAAUGUUGCAGCUGCCAAAGUUUUCUAAUUUUUACUAAA